Molecule: ribosomal RNA, 402 nt
Filed under: uncultured bacterium
Lineage: Bacteria
Description: bacterial SSU rRNA
Rfam family: Bacterial small subunit ribosomal RNA
Source: RNAcentral
GGAAUAUUGGGCAAUGGGCGAAAGCCUGACCCAGCGACGCCGCGUGAGGGAAGACGGUCUUCGGAUUGUAAACCUCUUUCAGCAGGGAAGAAGAAAGUGACGGUACCUGCAGAAGAAGUCACGGCUAACUACGUGCCAGCAGCCGCGGUAAUACGUAGGUGGCGAGCGUUAUCCGGAAUUACUGGGUGUAAAGGGUGUGUAGGCGGGUCGGCAAGUCAGACGUGAAAAUCAAAGGCUCAACCUUUGACUUGCGUUUGAAACUGUCGAUCUUGAGGAUGGGAGAGGUAAACGGAAUUCCUAGUGUAGUAGUGAAAUGCGUAGAUAUUAGGAGGAACACCGGUGGCGAAGGCGGUUUACUGGACCAUAACUGACGCUGAGACACGAAAGCGUGGGGAGCAAACA